AUAUUAUUAUUGGUGCAGGUGAAUGUUAACUUGGCUGGACUGCCUGCACUGGUGCUGCCAUGUGGAUUGAUUGAAGGUGGACCCGCCGGCCUUCCUGUUGGACUUCAAAUGAUUGGUGCUGCCUUUGAUGAGCUUUUCAACAUAUUUCAGAUGAUUUCUGAAAAUAUUAGGCAGACAUUCAAGUUUCAACAACAAAAAGAACCCUAGAAAUUCAAUGUUCAGGUAAUCUUUACAUCUGUUUGAGGUCCAUUCUUGGUUUUUAACAAACACUUUUCAGGUGAUGGUCUUCUAAAAUGCAAGGAACUGGGCUUGUCAAAGAAUGAGAUGAAGAAGCUUCUACCCAUCAUUGAUGCCAGCUCUUCAGAUUCAGGAACAUUUGAUGGCGUCUUGGAGCUUAUGGUUCAUGCUGGCAGAAGUCUACUUAAACCUAUCAUGAUGAUGAUACCUAAGGCGUGGCAAAAUGUUAAAAACAUGGAUCGUGAUAGAAAAGCCUUAUUCGAAUAUUUUUCAGCUCUUGUGGAGCCAUGAGAUGGACCUGCACUUAUAUCAUUUACUGAUGGCCGCUAUCUUGGAGCGACAUUGGACCGGAAUGGAUUGCGCCCUGGUCGCUUUUACAUCACACAUAGUGGACGCGUGAUCAUGGCCAGUGAGGUUGGUGUUGUAGACAUCUGCCAGGAGAUGUGGCUAGGAAAGGAAGACAUCUGAUCGGUCUAGAAGGGGACCAUACUGAAACAGUUCAUGUGGAAGGCUAUGUGGCAGUUCAUGUGCAUUUGUAUUUUGUUUUGAAAAAAUUAAAUAGACCAUUAAUUGUUUUGUUGAUAUUGUGCAGAAUUGUUGUCUUGAUGAAUGUUAAAUGGGUGAAAUAUGCACAGGUUCAAUCA
Molecule: long non-coding RNA, 881 nt
Organism: Magnolia sinica
Lineage: Eukaryota; Viridiplantae; Streptophyta; Magnoliopsida; Magnoliales; Magnoliaceae
Exons: 5
Source: RefSeq, a predicted model, not a curated record